GACGAACGCUGGCGGCGUGCUUAACACAUGCAAGUCGAACGCUGAAGCUUGGUGCUUGCACUGGGUGGAUGAGUGGCGCACGGGUGAGUAAUACGUGAGUAACCUGCCCUUGACUCUGGGAUAAGCCUGGGAAACUGGGUCUAAUACUGGAUAUGACAUGCCACUGCAUGGUGGUGUGUGGAAAGGGUUUUACUGGUUUUGGAUGGGCUCACGGCCUAUCAGCUUGUUGGUGGGGUAAUGGCCUACCAAGGCGACGACGGGUAGCCGGCCUGAGAGGGUGACCGGCCACACUGGGACUGAGACACGGCCCAGACUCCUACGGGAGGCAGCAGUGGGGAAUAUUGCACAAUGGGCGGAAGCCUGAUGCAGCGACGCCGCGUGAGGAAUGACGGCCUUCGGGUUGUAAACCUCUUUCAGCACGGAAGAAGCGAGAGUGACGGUACGUGCAGAAGAAGCGCCGGCUAACUACGUG
RNAcentral lists this ribosomal RNA (472 nucleotides) under uncultured bacterium. Its description in RNAcentral is "partial 16S ribosomal RNA". It matches the Rfam family "Bacterial small subunit ribosomal RNA", at positions 28 to 507 of the family's 1533-position model. The record is from RNAcentral.